RNAcentral lists this long non-coding RNA (4557 nucleotides) under Sus scrofa (pig). Its description in RNAcentral is "lncRNA (ENSSSCG00030005078.1)". The record is from RNAcentral. Lineage: Eukaryota; Metazoa; Chordata; Mammalia; Artiodactyla; Suidae.
UCUAUAUAGAACUAUGAGUAUGGGAAAAUAUGGAUGGUGGUUAAAGUGGAUUAUCUUCCUAUGAAGAAUGGAGUGGGGCUGGGAUCAUAUGGAGUGAGGGGGAGAGGAGGAGAAAUGGAGAGCCAAAGUUAUAAAAAAAAUCAUCAUCAUAAUGGAAAUAUAUUUUGUCUGCAUCCUACCCGUCUGGCAGAUAUCAGAUUUAGAAUUCUCAAGUUUUAAUUUCCAUUUUGCUAUAGCAACAGCCAACUAAUGGCAGGACCUUCCUGAGUGAGUUAACACUGGAUGAUAGCUCAAAAUAGAGCCUUCUGAUUGGAAGACAUAAGCCACAUAUAGGAUUGUUAAUUCCAUAAAUAAGGGCUAUAAAUAGGAACUGGGAUCAUAGUUAAGCAUAUCAGAGAAAAACAUGUGGGUGUAUAAAUUAUGUUCUUUAAAUACACUGGAAUUUUUGUAACUCAAAAUUAUUUAUUCAGUAGACUAGGUAACUAGUGAACAAGUUUCCUACAAGCUCUGAAAUCCUACUCUCCUAGGAUCUAGUUCUUGGACUGGAUUUGCACAUUGAAUAUUAAGGAAGGAAAGAAGGAAAAUGACAUUUAAUGCCGUGUGCCGUGCUCUUUCUAGUGGCCGUUCCAAGGACUGGCUUUGGGGAACAAACUCCAUAAACCACCCCUCAAAGUCACCACGUGUAAAUAUAUGAUCAAAGUCAAUAUUGUGUUUGCCAUGCAAAUAGCCCUUCAAGACACAGCCCUCAUCCUCUUCCCACACUGCUAGCCCUUAUCUUGUCCUAGAGGGAGAUCUGGAAGCCUGCCAACAGCACUGCAUUUCUAUGCAAUUUAAUCAUCACAACUGCUGUGUAAAACUAGAUGACAUUCCCAUUUUACAGAUAAGGAAAUAGUGGCUCAGAGAGGUCACAUGGUGUUCAAAGGUAGGUCUCCUUACUGCAAAGUCAGGGUCUGCUCUGUUGUAGUAGUACUUUGUAUUAUUAUUUGCAAACGACAGAAACCACUUCUGGCUGGUUUAUGUACAUGAGGAAUUUAAUUAAUAGGAAUAUUGGAAAAAUCGACCUCAGAACUGUGCAACCUUAAGCAAUGCUCAAAAUUAGACCAAAUAAUGAACUGAAUUAAGGAACAACUACUGAAUUCUAUAGCUUGGACAACUGGCGAUGGUGACAGAUCACUGGAUGAUGGAUGCUCUCACUAGCACUGCUGUCUGGGCUACCUAAGUGACUUGAUUGUGCUGCCCUUACCAUUGACCCCCAUCACAGUUGUCCUCGCCUUACAUCAUUUGUAUAUCAAAGUUCCAGCACCUGUUUAGUGAAGUCGGCCUAAAACAGGGGUUUUGAAAACUUCACUAUGUGGGCAUUUCCGUUAUGGCUCAACAUGUUAUGAACCCAACUAGUAUCCAUGAGGUCGCGGGUUUGAUCCCUGGCCUCACCUAGUAGGUUAAGGAUCUGGCAUUGCUGUGAGCUGUGGUGUAGGUCACAGAUGUGGCUCGGAUCUGGCAUUGCUGUGGGUGUGGCGAAGGCCAGCAGCUGCAGCUCUGAUUAGACCCCUAGCCUGGGAACUUCUAUAUGCUGCAGGUGCAGCCCUAAAAAUAAAUAAAUAAAUAAAAAAGCUUUACUAUGCAAUGGAAUCACCGAUGAAGCUCCUCUCUCUCUCCCUCUCUCCCUCUCUCCUUCUUCUCCCUCUUGUCCCUCUAUGUCCCUCUCUUUCUCUCUCCACCCCAGAGAUGAUUUUGAGUCAGUUGGUCCUGGGUUUCCAAAACUCCACUGAUGAAUCCGCUGCAGACCCAAGGUGAAGGACUGUUGGGCUAUUCCUGGCCCAUGUUUGGUUACCAGGCCUCCUUGAUAAGAAGAAUCACCUGAGUAUAUGUUAAGGUAAAUCUUUCCCUGGCCUCUUCUCACAGCCACUUAGAAUCAUCUUGAGAAAAAUUUGUGUAGAUGUUAAGAACCCCGGGUGAUUCUCAUCGGGGAGGUUAGGAACGUGCUCUUCUACAACAGAUGUCAAUACUUUAGCAGCAAGGGAGGCGGGCAAAGCAAGUAUUUUCAGUCUCUCUACGGGAGAAGGGGAUCCUGCCUCCCAUCAAAACUCAUGAGGUAAGGAUUCCCCGUACAUUGGAAGGGGGUUCAUAUCCUGGACUGCUGGAAAGAAUGACAAAUGCCUGUUGCAGUCCCACACAGCUUCCUUAGAGAUACAGGAUUUCUUUAAAUGGGUUGUGUAUUUUCUUCCAAAUACUUUGUUUUCUUCUGACUAAAACAUCAACUCUCUUAGCAUACAUCCUUGCCAAGAAAACAACAUUACUACUGCUUAAGUUAAUCUUUGUGCACACAUUAAAAAAAAGAGAGGGUGCUUGAUCUGAGUUGCUUAAAGAGACUAUGGCUGAACUCUUGAAUGCUAUCCUGGUUUGAUCUCAUUUAGGUAGAAAGAAGCUGAAGCAAACUUUAGCCCUGAAGAAAUAUGAUAAAAUAAAUAUGAUAAAGGCCUGACUAUUGCUAGGAUAAUUAGCAUAAAAUAUCCUUCAGUUGUUUCCUCAGUGUUGCCGUAUAUGGGUUAUGAAUGAUAUUUAGGAAACAAAAUACCUUAAUAUAUUGCAUUCUUUAAAGAUGACUCCUUUGAGGAUCUGAUAUUGUCCUUUACUUAGAGUUUAAUUUAAUUUUCUUAUGUUUUCAGAAAUGGCCUUUCUACAUAAUGCAGUCUGUAUCUCUCCAGCCAAGAGUCCUAAUUCCUUACACAGAGUGUAACCCAGUGUAAACAUUCCAAUUUCAACUGCAUUUAAACAUCAAUGUGUUCCUUCACCUGGGAGAAAAUAGUCUCCUCAUCCGUACUGCCAAUCAAUUAACUUCCUUUCAUAGUGACAUUUAGGAGGAAAGACACCCUGCCUCUAUAUUCCUUACACAAUCAACUGCCCAAGUUGCCCAAACUAAAAGUUAGAUAACAGUGAUAAGGAUAUGCUAUUUAACCUUCUCCAUCACCAGGGAAAAAGAACAUUGAUGACACAUGUUGCAACUUCAAACACUCAAAGCUGGCUGUUUGCAGUCAGUGGGUUUUUCAAAAUAACAUUUGUUGCAGUUGUUCUCAGUAAAUUUUAUAGCAGAUCACUCAUCCUAAGUUACUAUCUAGAGAUGCUGAUGAAGUUACUGGGGAAAAGAUUUGAUUGAUAAGAUGCUGUCUCCAUACCACCUGUUUAAAAGCAAGGGCCAAAUCUGGUGUCUACUAAUUAAGGAAAACUCUUCUUUGAUGGGAAUAUUGUGGUCAUUUUGGGUUCAAAAUGUUCAAUGGAAUUGUGGCGUCUUGACCUCCUGAUGGAACAGGGCCCUAGGCUGGUAAUCAAAAGUAUCUCUCCACAUCCAGGACUGAGCAACCAGCAUCAUUACCACAGAUUACAGUACCAUUUGUUUCUUGCUCUUUAGUUGGGGCCAGGUGAUUAGUGGUGCCAGCUGAGGUUACACAGUUUCAAAUUUGCCAGCCCAGGUUCCUGGGGUCAAGCACACUGGGAUGAUCACUACUACUGCUUUAAAGGGAACUAAAAGGGAAAGGGGGGUUUAGUCUGAAGGUGUGUCUGAGAAGGUUUCGCUUGUGGUCAGAGAGCAUCUGAAGUCACCUGGUAGUAGAAGCCUUGAGAAGUCCGUGGUAGUCAAACCUCUCCUAGAGAUCUGCUGCUUUUUACAUUUCAGCCCUUCCUGGUCAGCAUCAAGGAGCACUGGCCACAAAGGAUACUGUGCCACUUCCAUUCUGCUUUUGAGAAAAGACUGAGGUUAGGUGACAAUCUGUUUCUAAUGCACUGUUUUGUAAUUGGUAAUUUACAAAACGAUUAUGUAUAAAUAGAGUAUUUGUUCUCAAUAUCAUUAAAUCGCCUUUGGACUAGAUCAGAGGUCUACUCUUUCUCUGUGAAGACCAAGAUGCCAAAUAUUUUAGACUUUCUGGGCAGUAUGGUCUCUGUUACAACUACUCAACUUUGCUGUUGUAGUACAAAAACAACCAUAGCCAAAUAUAAACAAACGAAUGUAGCUGUGUCCCAAUAAAACUUUAUUUACAAAAACAUCUGGCCUGAUAUAAACUGUGACAUUGUCAUACACUCAGUAAUCAUAAUGGCAUUGACACAAGAGUCUUAAGAUCUUAACUUAUGUCCAGGUUUUAUUACCUGCUAGCUGUAUGAUCUUUGGGAAGUCAUUUUACCUUUUUAAGCCUGAGUUUCCAAUUCUCUAAAAUGGAAUUACCUACUUCAAAUAUCUGUUGAGAGAAUAAUAAAAAAGAAUAUGUAAUUGAAGUAAUAUUAGUGGUUGUUAUCUAUUGUGAACUUAUUAAGUGCUAGGCAUUAUGUUAGGAGUUCCUGUCGUGGCGCAGUGGUUAACGAAUCCGACUAGGAACCAUGAGGUUGCGGGUUCGGUCCCUGCCCUUGCUCAGUGGGUUAGGGAUCUGGCGUUGCUGUGAGCUGUGGUGUAGGUUGCAGACGCGGCUCGGAUCCCACGUUGCUGUGGCCCUGGCGUAGACUGGUGGCUAUGGUUCCGAUUAGACCCCUAGCCUGGGAACCUCCAUAUGCCAUGGGAGCGGCCCAAGAAAU